UUUAACUCUUUCUUAAUCGUGUUCACACACGAAUCGUUGAAGAAAAAAUCCAACAGAAUAUUAUAUUACGUUUUGAACGGGUAACUCAACAAAGAUAGAAGAGGAAGAGAAAGAGAUGUGGUGACGUAGUGUCAUUUUUAUCUCAGAGUGACGACGCAUCAAUCAAUCUUCUGUGUGCGACAAAAUAAAAAUUCAGUGAAAUUGUGCAGGUGUUUGGAAAAUUCCUCAGACAACUCAUUCGAGUCGAGAAAUAAUGGCAUUGAAUAAUACAAAGAAAUAUUAUCGACGUGAAAUACCAUCAGAAGUGGCGAUCUAUUUGUCGUUUAUUUUCGGAACGGAAAUUGAGCGUCAAAAUCGGGAAAUUUUGAGCCGCACUGAAAUGAUAGCACGUACAAACGAUGCCGUCGAAAAUGGUCAAAUAUUCAUGGGAGUGCACAACAACAAGGCGAUGUACGACGAAUUUCGGCGGGAUGUAUUGAAAAGCAAAACCCCUGUUGUCGCACGAAAACGACGAGCACAAUGAAUUCACAUCGAUCGCAAAUGAGUGGAGCAAAUCAAUGUUCGGUUGAUCCAGUCUUUUUGUCAUUUCCACUGGAAUUGCUAAUAAAAAUGAUUUGAA
Long non-coding RNA from Contarinia nasturtii (swede midge), 619 nucleotides. RefSeq lists it as uncharacterized. The transcript has 3 exons. Lineage: Eukaryota; Metazoa; Arthropoda; Insecta; Diptera; Cecidomyiidae. The record is from RefSeq and is a predicted model, not a curated record.